GCCUCUGAUCCGGAUCUUCUUCUAUGAUAUCCUGAGCAAGAAGCUGCUGGAGAGCCAGGAGCCAGCCCACGCACAGCCAGCAUCCCCUCAGAAUGUGCUCCCAGUGAAGAGUCUCCUAAAGCGUGCUUUUCAAAAGUCGGCAUCAGUCCGGAAUAUUCUCAGGCCUGUUGGGGGUAAACGGGUCGACUCUGCAGAAGUCCAGAAGGUUUGCAACAUCUGUGUCCUCUACCAGACCGCGCUGACAACUCUCACACAGAUUCGGCUGCAGAUACUCACAGGUCUCACUUACCUUGAUGACCUGCUGCCCAAACUGUGGGCAUUUAUCUGUGAGCUCGGGCCCCACGGAGGGUUAAAGCUCUUCUUGGAAUGCCUGAACAACGACACUGAAGAGUCCAAGCAACUCCUGGCCAUGCUGAUGCUGUUCUGUGACUGUUCGCGGCACCUCAUCACAGAACGCCAAGGGCGAGACCUUGGAGCUGUUCCAGUCUGUCCACGGGUGGCUGAUGGUGCUGUAUGAGCGGGACUGCCGGCGGCGCUUCACCCCCGAGGACCACUGGCUGCGAAAGGAUCUCAAACCUAGUGUGCUCUUCCAAGAACUCGACAGGGACAGAAAACGGGCACAGUUGAUCCUGCAGUACAUCCCACAUGUCAUCCCUCACAAAAACGUGAGUUGCACU
This 677-nucleotide small RNA is filed under the name Pongo abelii (Sumatran orangutan). Its description in RNAcentral is "processed transcript". The record is from RNAcentral. Lineage: Eukaryota; Metazoa; Chordata; Mammalia; Primates; Hominidae.